GCUAUUUUGACAGAAAAAUGUGAUGAUUUUAGAAGUCAUAAAUAUAUAAUUUAUUAUAUAUAUAGUA
This 67-nucleotide transfer RNA is filed under the name Graphium eurous. Its description in RNAcentral is "tRNA-Leu". The record is from RNAcentral. Lineage: Eukaryota; Metazoa; Arthropoda; Insecta; Lepidoptera; Papilionidae. RNAcentral also lists the same sequence under 5 other names.